GCCCAGGUAGCUCAGUUGGUAGAGCACGCGCCUGAAAAGCGCGGUGUCGACGGUUCAAUUCCGCCCCUGGGCACCA
RNAcentral lists this transfer RNA (76 nucleotides) under Acidobacteriota bacterium. RNAcentral's name for it is "tRNA-Phe". It matches the Rfam family "tRNA". From Rfam's summary of the family: Transfer RNA (tRNA) molecules are approximately 80 nucleotides in length. Their secondary structure includes four short double-helical elements and three loops (D, anti-codon, and T loops). Further hydrogen bonds mediate the characteristic L-shaped molecular structure. tRNAs have two regions of fundamental functional importance: the anti-codon, which is responsible for specific mRNA codon recognition, and the 3' end, to which the tRNAs corresponding amino acid is attached (by aminoacyl-tRNA synthetases). tRNAs cope with the degeneracy of the genetic code in two manners: having more than one tRNA (with a specific anti-codon) for a particular amino acid; and 'wobble' base-pairing, i.e. permitting non-standard base-pairing at the 3rd anti-codon position. RNAcentral also lists the same sequence under 2 other names. The record is from RNAcentral. Lineage: Bacteria; Pseudomonadati; Acidobacteriota.